GCCUUGAAUAACGGUAGCAAAAGUUUUAAAAUUUUAAACGAUUUGGUUAUUUUAAAAACUUUUGAUUCUAAAUUAAAAAUAGUCGAAUGCACUAAUUAUAAAUCGACCUUACAUAAAGGGUAUUGGGAUGUGGACUUAGUUUGGAUCGAUCUUAUCUCUCCUGUAGCUUUUGUUUGGCUGUUGUUACCCAGUCUCGGGUUGAGUGUCCAUUCCGUUCCCCGACUCCUUGCAGCAAAGGAUAAUGCCACACAAAUAGCUAACAAAUUUUGCCUGCCAGGACACCGAGGACAACGGAGAGAAAACCACAAACAGCGGCAAAGGGAAACUUUUUAUCGCUGGCCAGGUUAACUUUUAAGCAGACCAACAAGGACUCCCGAUUUAAGAGGAGCGCAGGACAUUUGCCGGAGAUAAACAGAUUUAUUGUGCUUAAGGACGCACGUUAAACGGGGCGGAGGGACUAACACAGUAAGCCGAAAGACCAAGUACAAGGACAGCGAUAAGGGCUGCGGAACUGCCAGGACUGUUUAUAGAUUUUUCGGUGUCCCCAAUUAGCGCAAAAGAAAGGCGGGGGAGAUGGGGAGAUGGGGAGAAGCGUCGGAAAUUAGGGGAAUAAAAAGAGUACAGACACUGUGCUCCUGUGUCCUUACUCCGUACUCGUUUCAGGCUAAUAGAAAUGUCAUAGUAACACUAAGAAAAAAUAUGUGAUAAAAAGCAAUUUCAAGCGAUACGAGUUUUUAAUGU
This is a non-coding RNA of Drosophila melanogaster (fruit fly), 741 nucleotides long. NCBI's taxonomy places the organism in Eukaryota, Metazoa, Arthropoda, Insecta, Diptera, Drosophilidae. The record is from Ensembl.